RNAcentral lists this non-coding RNA (46 nucleotides) under Trichobilharzia regenti. The record is from RNAcentral. Lineage: Eukaryota; Metazoa; Platyhelminthes; Trematoda; Strigeidida; Schistosomatidae.
GUACUGCUGAAGAGUCCCAAAAUAGGACGGAAGAGCUGUCCAGGAC